This is a long non-coding RNA of Pseudoliparis swirei, 1619 nucleotides long. RefSeq lists it as uncharacterized. The record is from RefSeq and is a predicted model, not a curated record. Lineage: Eukaryota; Metazoa; Chordata; Actinopteri; Perciformes; Liparidae. The transcript is spliced from 3 exons.
CGGGCAACGUUAGUGACACUGAGGUUUCUACUCGGCUCUCUGGUGAGGAGUUGAGCUAGCCUCGUGUGAGCUAGCGGGUAGCUACUUUUGUAUUCGAGGCAUGGUGUUCUGCAUUUCUGUGUCGCCUUGGGCGUCAAGAGUAAGUUAACUUAGCUAUCUGAUGGUUAAGUGUUUUCACGUUUCUUUAACAUCGUCGAUGUAACGUAGGUUGUCGGUUUCUGUGUUGAACGAGCUAACAUUAGCUUACUUUACAUAUGUUAGCUGAGGUAAUGUUUAGCUAACGCUCGUGUUAUAGGUUAAUUAGUGGCAGGUGGGUUUAGACACCUGAGGGGUCACGUGCUACACACUUCAUCUAAUAACCACGAUUUUAUUGAAGUGCUUUGAAACUGGUUCCACGCAGACAUGUAUAGACAAGCUCACAUAUACCGGAGCGGUCAGUCCGGACAGUCACGUGACCAGACACGUUAUUGUACAGGUCUGUUCACGUGACGUCGGGACUCUGUUCACGUGACGCUCUUAACUUGAUGCUGUUGACGUGGUCGGGACUCUGUUCACGUGACUGUUGUUAACAUGACGCUUAUAACUGCGCUAUGGCGGACAUGACAGCUCACAGCUCCUCAGAAGCUCCGUGCACCGUGAGCUGUCCAGUGAGGGGAUGGUUUCAUGAUCAAAUCUUCAUUUACUGUCCACAUUAUCAGAUGAGGACGUCACCAAAGAGUGUCCUUUGAGUCAAUGUUUACAUUUAUGUACAGAUAAUUAAGAACAAUUAGUUAAUUGUAAAAUGCUAAUUAUUUUCUCCUGCCACCUUUCAGACAUUAUAAUCCAAUUUGGAUGGAACAACUUCGUGACCUUAAUGACACCCAGCAACACGAUGUUUUUUUCUUUAUUUGUGUUAGAGCUAGAGAGACACACAAGCACCACAGGGGAGGAUCUGCAGCAAAGGGACCACCGGAAAUCAAACCUUGGCCGCCAUGAUGACGACAUGUGGCACUUGAGUGUGAAUCUAGCCUUUUCAUUUUUAUUUACAACAUUAGCAUUGAAAAGAGCAAAAGUUGAUGCUUGAGAUGAUUUUGGUUUUCCUGAAGAGGAUGUAUGUCCUCCCCUUGUCCUUUAUCCCCUUACUCUUUCUUUUUAGGUGUGAUUACGACUACCAGCAUGAACCUCAACACCUUCUUUGCUGUUCCACUAGUGUGACCCAUGAUCGGAUACAAGUUGUCAAGGAUAAACGGGAAGAGAAUCAUGUCAGCCCACAGACAACCGUUGACCUGUGAGUCUUCAAGCAGUAAUGAUGACUACUCCUGCCUUAAGUUCCAGUUUCCUGAACAUCAUGUCGGCAUGAGAUUUUGUCCCUACCUGUCUUCAGUCUGGACCCAAUGAGUUUUUUUUUUUUACAGUGCGUUUACAGUCACAUGGUUUUUUUCGAGGCUUUGUCUGAGUUUCAGUGCUGCAGUUAUUUACCAUUCAGGGUUGUUCAGAAACAUCCAAUUUGUCAUUCUCAUUUGAAGGGCUUGCUGCUGUGAUUCUUUUGUGUACACCAGGAUUUCUUUGUAUUUUGGCAUUUUACACAAAUGUUUUUGAAAGAUGGUCAACAAAGUUGCACAAAUAAAUGUUUAACUGCU